RNAcentral lists this non-coding RNA (29 nucleotides) under Equus caballus (horse). The record is from RNAcentral. RNAcentral also lists the same sequence under 5 other names. Lineage: Eukaryota; Metazoa; Chordata; Mammalia; Perissodactyla; Equidae.
UAGCUGCCUUCCAAGCAGUUGACCCGGGU